GAUAAUGAUGAUGAUGAUGAUGAUGAUGAUGAUGCCUCGGAGUGUGCGCGAGGAGUAACAUCCGUGUUGUGGUGGCUCUUUCGCACAGGAUGUACAAACA
Poecilia latipinna (sailfin molly) is the source of this 100-nucleotide long non-coding RNA. RefSeq lists it as uncharacterized. The record is from RefSeq and is a predicted model, not a curated record. NCBI's taxonomy places the organism in Eukaryota, Metazoa, Chordata, Actinopteri, Cyprinodontiformes, Poeciliidae. The transcript is spliced from 3 exons.